GAAUUUUAUGUGAUUAUUUAAAUGUCAUGGAAGAAAAUGGGAAUCACUAGAAAUAUGCGUUUACUUGGAGAUUUCCCCGUGGAAAGCUUCCAGGCCAUGGAGAGAAACUUUCCAUUUGCUCUCAGCUCUUGACAUGAUUUACCUCACAGGCCCAGAUCAUUGACGCCAACCAACCAUGAGAACAACCGAAGAAGACCCUUUCCCUUGAAACCCAGAUACAAGAAACCAGCUUGAAUCUGUGCCAGUCUGGGACUAGUUGAGCUCUGCCAACUUAUUACUGACCUGCAGACAGCCUUUGCAGUUCACAUGAAGCCCACAGCUGUAUGUGGUACCUAGAGUCUUAUCCACCACCGAAAGAGCUAAUGACUCAACUCAGGAGUGUGCUGCAUUGUCCUGGAUUAAUCUCUGAUCAUAGGAAGCAGAAGGUGGGUGGGAGAAAGUAAACACCCCUUCCUCUUCUGCUGCUCACGCGCUAUCCCAACCACAGAACUACAUAGCUUAUUUGGAGAAGCCUUGAAUGGCCCAGCAGAUACUUCUGUCAAGUGACCUGUGCUUUUUAUAGCUUAUUCGGAAGCAGUGAGUGUCCAGCAUUGGCAACAGAUCAUUCUGUAUGGCUCUCCAUUCCUCCUUGACUCAUUGUCUUUCACCUUGAGUUCCUGCCCAACUUCUUGUGAUGCUGAAUCAUGGAGUGGAAGUGUAAAGCAGGUGUCUUCCUUGGCUUUCAGUCACAUUUGUGGCUUCGUUUCCUUUAGUUGUUGUGGAAGGGGCUGUGAUCUGAACUUGUCACCACUGAAACUGAGGAGAGGAUUCCCUUACACAUGGAUUCACUGAAGGUGUAAGGUGCUCAGCUGAGUUAAAAGAACUCAGGCCGUCAGAUGGGUAAGCCUUAUUGCACAGUAGUGAGUGAUUAUUCAGUUGCAACUCCACAGAGAGAUCCCGGACCAGCAUCAAUGAGGUGGGUUGUAACCAGAACUUCAGAAUUCGUUCUAUAGAUUUUGGAUAAUUAUAUCUCAUUUCUGUGGAAAACUGAAUAGCUUUUAAAAGCAGAUUGAAAAUGGACCUCCCCAACACAUCCAUGCUUAAGGCUUUGAAGAAGUUCAACAUAAGACAAGAGAUACUUGUCAGAUAGUGAUAACGUCAAGGAAGCUGAGAAGGGAGGUUACCCUGAAUUUGCCAGUGGGCCAAGUAUACUGACCAGAGUUGCUGUUCGAGGGAAGCUGGAGAUUUGGAGUAAGGAAAUCAUCAAAAUGAAGAGAAAUGUUUGAAGAUGCCACACUGGUGACUUUGAAGUGGGAGGAUGGAGCCAUAAGCUAGGGCAGUGGAAAGCCUCGAGAAUCCAGAAAAAGUAAGGAGAUGGACGUUCCCUCUGAAAUUUCUAUAAGAUUUUAGAAGAGCAGGGUACAGGUGCUAAGAGGUGAGAGACAGAAUGAGAAGGAAGGGGCUCCAACUAGGGAGCAGGGAGGAAGGGCAAUACAGUGGGAGGAGGAGGAAAGAGACAGGGAACAUUAAGGUUGCUUGAUAAAGCUCCAGAGAAAGCAUGUUAUUUUAUAUUUACCCCCAAAUUAUGCAACACACACAGUAUACAUACAUGCAUGCAGGAAACACCAUUACAUACAAAAUAAUCAAGUAAAUUUAAAAAAUGUGCUUGCUAGAUAAACAUGGGGUCUUGAGUUCUAACCCUAGCACCCUUGGAAAAGAAGCUGGACAUGACUAUGUAGAUAUACAAUCUCAUCACAGUGAGGAGUGGAGACAGGAGAAUUAUUGGGGAUCACUGACCACCAAUCUAGUUCUAGGGUUAACGAGAGAUCCCUGUUUCAAGGAAGUAAGGUAAAAAUGAUGGUAGAGUAGGAAACCUGACAGCCUUCUCUGGCCUCUGCAUGUGCACCUGUAAAUGUGCACACACACACACACACUCACACACACACACACACACACACACGUACACAUGCUAAACAAACAAAUGAGUGCAUAGUUAAAUUGAAAGGCUCUGGACUAUUCUUCUAGAGACACUCUUUACAUUGCUUCUAUAUUCCUGUGACAGCAAAGAGAAAUGAACUCCAAGGUAUAGAAUAAGCCUUAUUUUAAACCUCAAAUUUUAACCAUGCUGAAAAAGCAUUUCCACAUGUCUAGUUGCAUCCACCUUCUUUAAACAUUUGUAUCUCUGCCUUUCUUUGCUUUGCCUGAUUAAAAUAGUGUUAAGAUAAUUGUGUGAAGUUGGAUGGUAGAAGGAAAAAUAAACACAAUUAAAAAGAUUUUGAUUCCGUAUGUCAUAUGUCUAUGAAACUUCUGGGUCUAGACUAAAUAUAUAUCUUUGUCAGCAAUUUAUUUGAGAUUAUUGAAAAUCUAUAGGUUAAACAAUCUUGAAAACAUCCUUUGUUUUCUUGAGACCAAGUCUUGCUGUGUUUCCCAGUGUCUUAGUUAUUUUGCUAUUGCUGUGAAGACACCAUAACCAAGGCAACUUAUUGAAGAAAGUUUAUUUGUGCUGGUUUACAGUUUCAGAGGAUGAGUCUGUGACCAUCGUGGCAGGGAGCAUGGCAGCAGGCAGGCAGCCAUGGCACUGGAGCAGUGGCUGAUCCACAAGGAGGAGGCAGAGAGCUCUUGGGAAGGACAUGAGCUCUUGAACUCUCAAUGUUGCUGCCCCCACCCUCUGCAGUGAAUCAUCUCUUUCAUUUAAGCCCUCCUAGUUCUUCCUAAACAAUUCCAUUAACUGGUGUCUUAGUCAGGGACUCUAUUCCUGCACCAACAUCAUGACCAAGAAGCAAGUUGGAGAGAGAGAAGAGUUUAUUCAGCUUACACUUCCACAUUGCUGUUCAUCACCAAAGAAAGUCAGGACUGGAACUCAAACAGGUCAAGAAGCAGGAGCUGAUGCAGAGGCCAUGGAGGGAUGUUACUUACUGGCUUGCUUUCCCUGGCUUGCUCAGCUUGCUUUAAUUAUUGAACCCGAGACUAUCAGCCUAGGGAUGGCACCACCCACAAUGGGCUGGGCCCCCCCACCCUUGAUCACUAAUUGGGGAAAUGCCUUACAGCUGGAUCUCAUGGAGGCAUUUUCUCAAGGGAGGCUCCUUUCUCUGUGAUAACUCCAGCUUGUGUCAAGUUGAUACACAAAAGCAGCCAGUACAACUGGUGAUCAAGUAUUCUAACAUAUAAGCCGGUGAAGGUUGUUCCCAUUUAAAUCACCACAUCCAGGUUAGCCUCAAACCCUCAAUCCUCCUGCCUCAGGUUAGGCAUAGUGGACAUUAACAUGCCAAGCUAAGUAGUUUGUUAGUUUAUUUAUUUAUUUAUUUAUUUAUCAUUUAUUUAGGCUGACCUAAAGUGCAAGAUCUGAAUCCUGGGAUUGAAGGCAUUUAACACCAAACAAAAAUAUAUUAUCACCCAUACCUUAAGCAACACCAUGAGACCCUCCAAAGGGGAAUUACAGCUUAUUUUCGAGGCUUCCUGCCCUUCCUCUGGCCUCACCUCCUCCUUUGUCAUCUAUCUUCCUGGCUUGUGCAGAGAGGACCCUAGCAUGGAAGAGCUUCAUAAACAAGACCUCGCUGCCCUUGGACUUCUACUUCUGUUGAUGUUACUGGCCACACACUCCCAGCCUGGAUGGCUAUACUCAAAGCCUGCCAAGGAUGGGCAGCUUUAGAAGGGAAGCUGAGAUAAGUUUUCUGUCUUUACUGAAAUGUGAAGACGUCCAGCCCAGAUAAGAUUUGCCUCUGUGUGGUCUAAUUGGUAUAGCCCCAGAACCUCAUGAGCAAGUAAUCUAAAUCUCGUUCAUUUAAACAAUGUGAAUAUAUAUCAUCUCAAUGACCAGUGAGUGUCAACUUCCUCCAUCCUUAUUCUGGUUCACUAUAUAAGAAACUUGCAUUUGGGAAAUGUGGAACAGAGUAACUGUUUCUGUGGUCCACCUCUGGCUUCUCCCAGAUGAUCUAUCCAAUUAGAGUAUUUCACUCGACUGUAAAUUUUCAGCAAAUAAAGAUUUAAAAUUUAAACUUAAGUAUCUAACUGGACUCAGAUAUGCCAAGGGUAGGCAAUCUGCUUUUAGUUACUUGAUUUAAAAGAUUGUUUUGAAAUGUAUUUUAUUUUUAAACUAAUAUUUAUGGAUAGAUUAUCCUUUAACAUUACUCCCUCUUUCAAAGCUUCUAGAAGAUGCAGACAUUUCCCCCUCCUGGACCAUGACGGGUGGUGGGAAUCCAGGGUUCACAACGUGACCAUCCUGGCACCCGCUUCUCCUUUGCCUAAGGUGCCUCACCCAGCUCUGCGUGCACAACGCGCCCUCAGCUUCACCUAAGUCUUGAAAGACUUUUCGGGUUAUGACAUUCCCCUAAAUGUGCUGAGCUUUCCUUAACCUUUCAUAAAACAUUGUGAUCUUUAUGGACUGUAUCAUAUUGUGCAGUAAUGUGCUUUAUUGUGCACAGAAUAAGCUUUUCUUAAAGAUAAUUGGAAAGCUGGAAAUGGCUGCUAUCGGCCGAUUUUUUAAAAAAAUACAUUAUUUCUGAAAUAGGGCUGGUGUAAUAAUGACCCUAUCUGUUCAAGAUUUAAGAUUUGUCUUGGCAGAGAAAAUUGAUCCAUUUCACCUUUGUCUAAUGGAAAUUUUUAUCUAGGAUUAUCUGUUUAUGUAAAUGAAUGUCCCUGUGAAGAGGGAACUUGAGGAGGCUGUAAAUCUUGGUGACACCUCAGUUUCAUAGGGGAGAAAUUGGAAAGGAUUCUAGUAUUUAUCUGCCCGAAAUUGGUUAUAAAAACAAAAUUAUCUUCGUGUACCUGCAGCAUCUGAUGUUUUCUGAAAUUUCAUUAUAUUUCUGAAUAAUUCAGGGAGCCGUGGGAAUAGUGUUUUGACAUGACCUCAAUCGCAAAUUGUUUUUACUUUUAAAAUUUUAUAGUCACCUGCUAAUGUGCUUCCUUUCCUGCCUCUUUAAGGGUGAGAGUGUUUUCUACACCGUUGUAGGAGUCUUCAGCCACGAUAGGCUCAUUAUCUGUGGGUAAAUGAAGUAACUGUAUUAGCAGAAUAUCUACCAAUUUUCUCUCUAAAAAUAUCACAGCUACUAUACAUUCUAUCUGUGGGCCAAAAUCCUGGGGGUCUGAAUCAUAAUUGCUGUACAUUUAAACAAUGUCUUUUCAUGGCGACUGUUGGGCCACACUGACUUGCUCUCAUAUGGUAGUGGAAGUUGCCAUGUAACAACUUUACAAAGGUAACAGCAUGUGACACAUUCUUUUUCUUCAAGUCAAAGAGAAAAACAAAGAAAGGCCUAAAAGAAAUAUUGACUCAUGUUACUUCUUGCUUCCUUCUUUGAAAAUAUAUGUGUAGUUUCUUUCUAGGGACUGCUAACUUCAUUAUCCAAUGCCUGGUGGUGGUCCACUGUCUUUGUUCCUUUAGCAGCCAUUGUCUCUGAGUCCCCCCCAUUUACAUAAUAUCUGAACUAUUUCAUCAGGACUCAAAUAAACAGUAUUAUGUUGCAUUGAAGCUGAUGUAAAUAUAAUAUUUAAUGGUGGGACACAGGGACUGAAAAUUGUCCAGAACUUGGAGUUUUCUUUCCUGUCUUUUUAAGGAUGAGAUUCUUUCCCAAUAAGCAGUGUGGAGUGAGCAGCCAGAAGUGGUGUUGGCUGUCGGGAUUAUCAACUAUACCAUCGUUAUGCCUGCAGACAUGUGUUUUGUUGCUAUCAGUAGGUUCAACAAAAUUGACAAAACUAAAAAAUAAAUGCUAUUUUGGAAACUCA
Molecule: long non-coding RNA, 5697 nt
Organism: Mus musculus (house mouse)
Lineage: Eukaryota; Metazoa; Chordata; Mammalia; Rodentia; Muridae
Product: predicted gene, 33609
Exons: 9
Source: RefSeq, a predicted model, not a curated record